RNAcentral lists this ribosomal RNA (566 nucleotides) under uncultured bacterium. RNAcentral's name for it is "partial 16S ribosomal RNA". It matches the Rfam family "Bacterial small subunit ribosomal RNA", at positions 355 to 939 of the family's 1533-position model. The record is from RNAcentral.
UGGGGAAUAUUGGACAAUGGGGGCAACCCUGAUCCAGCCAUGCCGCGUGAGUGAUGAAGGCCUUCGGGUUGUAAAGCUCUUUUGGCGGGGACGAUGAUGACGGUACCCGCAGAAUAAGCCCCGGCUAACUUCGUGCCAGCAGCCGCGGUAAGACGAAGGGGGCUAGCGUUGUUCGGAAUUACUGGGCGUAAAGCGAGUGUAGGCGGUUGCCGUAGUCAGGUGUGAAAGCCUUGAGCUCAACUCAAGAAAUGCACUUGAUACUGGGUGACUAGAGGACCGGAGAGGAUAGUGGAAUUCCCAGUGUAGUGGUGAAAUACGUAGAGAUUGGGAAGAACACCAGUGGCGAAGGCGGCUAUCUGGACGGUUACUGACGCUAAGACUCGAAAGCGUGGGGAGCAAACAGGAUUAGAUACCCUGGUAGUCCACGCCGUAAAACGAUGGGUGCUAGACGUUGGCGAGCUUGCUCGUCAGUGUCGCAGCUAACGCGUUAAGCACCCCCGCCUGGGGAGUACGGCCGCAAGGUUGAAAACUCAAAAUGAAUUGACGGGGGUCAUAGCUGUUUUCCU